Molecule: transfer RNA, 74 nt
Filed under: Spirochaetaceae bacterium
Lineage: Bacteria; Pseudomonadati; Spirochaetota; Spirochaetia; Spirochaetales; Spirochaetaceae
Description: tRNA-Arg
Rfam family: tRNA
About the family: Transfer RNA (tRNA) molecules are approximately 80 nucleotides in length. Their secondary structure includes four short double-helical elements and three loops (D, anti-codon, and T loops). Further hydrogen bonds mediate the characteristic L-shaped molecular structure. tRNAs have two regions of fundamental functional importance: the anti-codon, which is responsible for specific mRNA codon recognition, and the 3' end, to which the tRNAs corresponding amino acid is attached (by aminoacyl-tRNA synthetases). tRNAs cope with the degeneracy of the genetic code in two manners: having more than one tRNA (with a specific anti-codon) for a particular amino acid; and 'wobble' base-pairing, i.e. permitting non-standard base-pairing at the 3rd anti-codon position.
Source: RNAcentral
GCGUUCGUAGCUCAUUUGGAUAGAGCACCAGACUUCGAAUCUGGGGGUGGCAGGUUCAAAUCCUGCCGGACGCA